UUAGAAGGAACACAAGUUAAAACCGUCACAUCCUGUGACAACACUUGUGUGACCAACAUCGUGUUGG
Small RNA from Solibacillus silvestris StLB046, 67 nucleotides. It matches the Rfam family "Bacillaceae-1 RNA". Lineage: Bacteria; Bacillati; Bacillota; Bacilli; Caryophanales; Caryophanaceae. The record is from Rfam.